GACGAACGCUGGCGGCGUGCUUAACACAUGCAAGUCGAACGGAAAGGCCCUGCUUUUGUGGGGUUCUCGAGUGCCGAACGGGUGAGUAACACGUGAGUAACCUCCCCUUGACUUUGGGAUAACUUCAGGAAACUGGGGCUAUUACCGGAUAGAAGCUCCUGCUGCAUGGUGGUGGUUGGAAAGUUUCGGCGGUGGGGGCUGUACUCGCGGCUUAUCCGCUUGUUUGUGGGGUAGUGGCUUACCAGGGUUUUGACGGGUAGCCGGCCUGAGAGGGUUGACGGCCACAUGGGGACUGAGAUACGGACCAGACGCCUACGGGAGGCAGCAGGGGGGAAUAUUGCACAAUGGGCGGAAGCCUGAUGCAGCAACGCCGCGUGCGGGAUGACGGCCUUCGGGUUGUAAACCGCUUUCGCCUGUGACGAAGCGUGAGUGACGGUAAUGGGUAAAGAAGCACCGGCUAACUACGUG
This 468-nucleotide ribosomal RNA is filed under the name uncultured bacterium. RNAcentral's name for it is "partial 16S ribosomal RNA". It matches the Rfam family "Bacterial small subunit ribosomal RNA", at positions 28 to 507 of the family's 1533-position model. The record is from RNAcentral.